CAUUAGAUGUCUGAAAGAAAGAAAUGGUCUCUUAAACCAAAAUAUAGUAAUUUAUCAACUACUUCUAAUGA
Molecule: transfer RNA, 71 nt
Filed under: Lasioglossum fulvicorne
Lineage: Eukaryota; Metazoa; Arthropoda; Insecta; Hymenoptera; Halictidae
Description: tRNA-Lys
Source: RNAcentral